CAGUCGCCACGGUAAUACGUAGGUGGCAAGCGUUGUCCGGAAUUAUUGGGCGUAAAGGGCUCGCAGGCGGUUUCUUAAGUCUGAUGUGAAAGCCCCCGGCUCAACCGGGGAGGGUCAUUGGAAACUGGGAAACUUGAGUGCAGAAGAGGAGAGUGGAAUUCCACGUGUAGCGGUGAAAUGCGUAGAGAUGUGGAGGAACACCAGUGGCGAAGGCGACUCUCUGGCCUGUAACUGACGCUGAGGAGCGAAAGCGUGGGGAGCGAACAGGAUUAGAUACCCCCGUAGUCCCUGUCUCUUAUAC
RNAcentral lists this ribosomal RNA (301 nucleotides) under uncultured bacterium. Its description in RNAcentral is "partial 16S ribosomal RNA". It matches the Rfam family "Bacterial small subunit ribosomal RNA", at positions 509 to 807 of the family's 1533-position model. The record is from RNAcentral.